GAUGAACGCUGGCGGCGUGCUUAACACAUGCGAGUCGAACGAAACACCUUAUUUGAUUUUCUUCGGAACUGAAGAUUUGGUGAUUGAGUGGCGGACGGGUGAGUAACGCGUGGGUAACCUGCCCUGUACAGGGGGAUAACAGUCAGAAAUGACUGCUAAUACCGCAUAAGACCACAGCACCGCAUGGUGCAGGGGUAAAAACUCCGGUGGUACAGGAUGGACCCGCGUCUGAUUAGCUGGUUGGUGAGGUAACGGCUCACCAAGGCGACGAUCAGUAGCCGGCUUGAGAGAGUGAACGGCCACAUUGGGACUGAGACACGGCCCAAACUCCUACGGGAGGCAGCAGUGGGGAAUAUUGCACAAUGGGGGAAACCCUGAUGCAGCGACGCCGCGUGAGUGAAGAAGUAUUUCGGUAUGUAAAGCUCUAUCAGCAGGGAAGAAAAUGACGGUACCUGACUAAGAAGCCCCGGCUAACUACGUG
RNAcentral lists this ribosomal RNA (481 nucleotides) under uncultured bacterium. RNAcentral describes it as "partial 16S ribosomal RNA". It matches the Rfam family "Bacterial small subunit ribosomal RNA", at positions 28 to 507 of the family's 1533-position model. The record is from RNAcentral.